CGGGACGGGUGAGUAAUGUCUAGGGAAACUGCCUGAUGGAGGGGGAUAACACUGGAAACGGUAGCUAAUACCGCAUAACGUCGCAAGACCAAAGAGGGGGACCUUCGGGCCUCUUGCCAUCGGAUGUGCCCAGAUGGGAUUAGCUAGUAGGUGGGGUAACGGCUCACCUAGGCGACGAUCCCUAGCUGGUCUGAGAGGAUGACCAGCCACACUGGAACUGAGACACGGUCCAG
RNAcentral lists this ribosomal RNA (233 nucleotides) under uncultured bacterium. RNAcentral's name for it is "partial 16S ribosomal RNA". It matches the Rfam family "Bacterial small subunit ribosomal RNA", at positions 100 to 334 of the family's 1533-position model. The record is from RNAcentral.